AGCGAACGCUGGCGGCAGGCUUAACACAUGCAAGUCGAGCGGGCACUUUCGGGUGUCAGCGGCGGACGGGUGAGUAACGCGUGGGAACGUGCCCUCUGGUUCGGAAUAACUCAGGGAAACUUGAGCUAAUACCGGAUACGCCCUUUUGGGGUAAGGCUUGCUGCCGGAGGAUCGGCCCGCGUCUGAUUAGCUAGUUGGUGAGGUAACGGCUCACCCAGGCGACGAUCAGUAGCUGGUCUGAGAGGAUGAUCAGCCACACUGGGACUGAGACACGGCCCAGACUCCUACGGGAGGCAGCAGUGGGGAAUAUUGGACAAUGGGCGCAAGCCUGAUCCAGCCAUGCCGCGUGAGUGAUGAAGGCCUUAGGGUUGUAAAGCUCUUUUAUCCGGGACGAUAAUGACGGUACCGGAGGAAUAAGCCCCGGCUAACUUCGUG
RNAcentral lists this ribosomal RNA (435 nucleotides) under uncultured bacterium. RNAcentral's name for it is "partial 16S ribosomal RNA". It matches the Rfam family "Bacterial small subunit ribosomal RNA", at positions 29 to 507 of the family's 1533-position model. The record is from RNAcentral.